This 492-nucleotide ribosomal RNA is filed under the name uncultured bacterium. RNAcentral's name for it is "partial 16S ribosomal RNA". It matches the Rfam family "Bacterial small subunit ribosomal RNA", at positions 28 to 507 of the family's 1533-position model. The record is from RNAcentral.
GAUGAACGCUAGCUACAGGCUUAACACAUGCAAGUCGAGGGAAAACGGCAUUACGUGCUUGCACUUUUUGGACGUCGACCGGCGCACGGGUGAGUAACGCGUAUCCAACCUUCCCAUGACUAAGGGAUAACCUGCCGAAAGGCAGACUAAUACCUUAUGGUCUUCACUGACGGCAUCAGAUGUGAAGUAAAGAUUUAUCGGUUAUGGAUGGGGAUGCGUCUGAUUAGCUUGUUGGCGGGGUAACGGCCCACCAAGGCAACGAUCAGUAGGGGUUCUGAGAGGAAGGUCCCCCACAUUGGAACUGAGACACGGUCCAAACUCCUACGGGAGGCAGCAGUGAGGAAUAUUGGUCAAUGGGCGAGAGCCUGAACCAGCCAAGUAGCGUGCAGGAUGACGGCCCUAUGGGUUGUAAACUGCUUUUGUAUGGGGAUAAAGUCAAUCACGUGUGAUUGUUUGCAGGUACCAUACGAAUAAGGACCGGCUAAUUCCGUG